GCCUAACACAUGCAAGUCGAGCGGAAACGAUCCUAGCUUGCUAGGAGGCGUCGAGCGGCGGACGGGUGAGUAACGCGUAGGAAUCUGCCUAGUAGUGGGGGAUAGCUCGGGGAAACUCGAAUUAAUACCGCAUACGCCCUACGGGGGAAAGCGGGGGACCUUCGGGCCUCGCGCUAUCAGAUGAGCCUGCGUUGGAUUAGCUUGUUGGUGAGGUAAAGGCUCACCAAGGCGACGAUCUUUAGCUGGUCUGAGAGGAUGAUCA
This 262-nucleotide ribosomal RNA is filed under the name uncultured Bolidomonas. RNAcentral describes it as "partial Bacterial small subunit ribosomal RNA". It matches the Rfam family "Bacterial small subunit ribosomal RNA", at positions 46 to 306 of the family's 1533-position model. The record is from RNAcentral. Lineage: Eukaryota; Bolidophyceae.